UCGUCACACUAUCAUUAACUGAAUCCAUAGGUUAAUGAGGCGAACCGGGGGAACUGAAACAUCUAAGUACCCCGAGGAAAAGAAAUCAACCGAGAUUCCCCCAGUAGCGGCGAGCGAACGGGGAGGAGCCCAGAGCCUGAAUCAGCAUGUGUGUUAGUGGAAGCGUCUGGAAAGGCGCGCGAUACAGGGUGACAGCCCCGUACACAAAAGCGCAUGUGUUGUGAGCUCGAUGAGUAGGGCGGGACACGUGGUAUCCUGUCUGAAUAUGGGGGGACCAUCCUCCAAGGCUAAAUACUCCUGACUGACCGAUAGUGAACCAGUACCGUGAGGGAAAGGCGAAAAGAACCCCGGCGAGGGGAGUGAAAAAGAACCUGAAACCGUGUACGUACAAGCAGUGGGAGCACCCUUUGGGGUGUGACUGCGUACCUUUUGUAUAAUGGGUCAGCGACUUAUAUUCUGUAGCAAGGUUAACCGAAUAGGGGAGCCGGAGGGAAACCGAGUCUUAAUUGGGCGUUAAGUUGCAGGGUAUAGACCCGAAACCCGGUGAUCUAGCCAUGGGCAGGUUGAAGGUUGGGUAACACUAACUGGAGGACCGAACCGACUAAUGUUGAAAAAUUAGCGGAUGACCUGUGGCUGGGGGUGAAAGGCCAAUCAAACCGGGAGAUAGCUGGUUCUCCCCGAAAGCUAUUUAGGUAGCGCCUCGUGAAUUCAUCUCCGGGGGUAGAGCACUGUUUCGGCUAGGGGGCCAUCCCGGCUUACCAACCCGAUGCAAACUGCGAAUACCGGAGAAUGUUAUCACGGGAGACACACGGCGGGUGCUAACGUCCGUCGUGAAGAGGGAAACAACCCAGACCGCCAGCUAAGGUCCCAAAGUCAUGGUUAAGUGGGAAACGAUGUGGGAAGGCCCAGACAGCCAGGAUGUUGGCUUAGAAGCAGCCAUCAUUUAAAGAAAGCGUAAUAGCUCACUGGUCGAGUCGGCCUGCGCGGAAGAUGUAACGGGGCUAAACCAUGCACCGAAGCUGCGGCAGCGAC
RNAcentral lists this ribosomal RNA (1032 nucleotides) under Salmonella enterica subsp. enterica serovar Paratyphi B var. L(+) tartrate +. RNAcentral describes it as "partial 23S ribosomal RNA". It matches the Rfam family "Bacterial large subunit ribosomal RNA", at positions 140 to 1212 of the family's 2925-position model. The record is from RNAcentral. Lineage: Bacteria; Pseudomonadati; Pseudomonadota; Gammaproteobacteria; Enterobacterales; Enterobacteriaceae.